RNAcentral lists this ribosomal RNA (497 nucleotides) under uncultured bacterium. RNAcentral describes it as "partial 16S ribosomal RNA". It matches the Rfam family "Bacterial small subunit ribosomal RNA", at positions 28 to 507 of the family's 1533-position model. The record is from RNAcentral.
GAUGAACGCUGGCGGCGUGCCUAAUACAUGCAAGUCGAGCGAACAGACUAGGAGCUUGCUCCUCUGACGUUAGCGGCGGACGGGUGAGUAACACGUGGAUAACCUACCUAUAAGACUGGGAUAACUUCGGGACACCGGAGCUAAUACCGGAUAAUAUAUUUAACCGCAUGGUUCAAUAGUGAAAGACGGUUUUUCUGUCACUUAUAGCUGGAUCCGCGCCGCAUUAGCUAGUUGGUAAGGUAACGGCUUACCAAGGCAACGAUGCGUAGCCGACCUGAGAGGGGGGUAGGCGACAUGGGAACGGAAACGGGGACAAGAGGACUGAGAGAGGGAGCAGAAGGGAAUGGGACGCAGCAGGCGAGAGUAUUGCGGAACGAGGGAGAGUGAGAGAUAGAGGUGUUGGGAGAGGGAUAACCGGUUUUGGGGGAAGAACAAAUGUGUGAAGAGAAGAACACAAAGUGACGGUACCUGAACAGGAAGCAACGGCUAACUACGUG